GAAGUGCGAUAAGCAAUGCGAAUUGCAGAAUUCCGCGAAUCAUCAGAUCUUUGAACGCAAAUGGCGCUGGAGGGAUAUCCUUCCAGCAUGUCUGUUUCAGUGUCUGAGAGGUUUCAUACUAAUCUUAAUGUGAUUGAUGGUUAGUGUAACUACUUCGGUAGUCGCACCAAAUCAUCUCUCAUGAAAGAUGCGUGAUUGGAUCUUUCGGUCCAAUGAAGUGGUCACAUCACUCGUAUGUGAUUUCAUUGGGAAAUCACCGAAUUAUUCGCAUACUCACAGUAUCAUAAAAACAAAAACAAAACUUCCAUACCCUGCAUCUGAGAUAGGCAAGAUCACCCGCUGAACUUAAGC
This 351-nucleotide unclassified non-coding RNA is filed under the name plant metagenome. RNAcentral describes it as "partial contains 5.8S ribosomal RNA, internal transcribed spacer 2, and large subunit ribosomal RNA". The stretch from base 1 to 105 matches the Rfam family "5.8S ribosomal RNA", at positions 50 to 154 of the family's 154-position model. The record is from RNAcentral.